Molecule: small nuclear RNA, 147 nt
Filed under: Olea europaea subsp. europaea
Lineage: Eukaryota; Viridiplantae; Streptophyta; Magnoliopsida; Lamiales; Oleaceae
Description: U4 spliceosomal RNA
Rfam family: U4 spliceosomal RNA
About the family: U4 small nuclear RNA (U4 snRNA) is a component of the major U2-dependent spliceosome. The structure of U4 snRNA from yeast and human has been reported.
Source: Rfam by way of RNAcentral
GUCAUUGUGCUUGGGGCAAUGAUGCAGCUAGUCUGGCUCUAAACAAGGCGACACAUCUAUUGCUAGCUAGUUGAAAACUAUUCUCAAAACCCCUUUCGGGUUAGGCUCACCCUUGGCCUUUGAGAUUUUCUAAAAUGGUUAAAGCCA